UAUGAGCGCAAGUUUUCGCUCAUAGACAUCAGUUUUUUUAGCCGAUGUCUAUGAGCGCCUUUUUUUCAUUAAUAGGCAUUGAUUUUAACAGUAGUUUUUAAAACCCGGUGUCUAUGAUAGCUUCAUUGUUCUAUCUACGAAAUCAGAUAGUAAAAAACCGUUGUUAAAAGUGGUGUUAAUCAAUCAAAAUAAAAUAAUUUAAUUUUCCCACCAAUACUUAGUCAAAAUUUGCAACACUUCACUCUUCCCUCCAAACCUAAACCUAUAUCACGCCGUCCAUAGUAUACCGUCGCGACGCCACCACCACUUUCCUCCUCGCUGCUGGCUGUCCGACCAUUCCUCUCAGCCUCAUCUCCCUCUUCCCCUUCCUAGAUCAACACCCCUUCCUCUCCCGAUCAAGAUCAAUACACGACUCCCUUGCUUCUCCGUCCAAUCACACAGCAUCUCCUCCAACUCCUCCCUUUGGGUGAGAAGAGGAGCCCUUCUUCGCAUUCCAGGUUUUGUUCUCCUCUUUUUACUCGACGAAGUUCUUGCCGUCGACGGCCAAUACAUGAGCAUCACCCAGUCCACGCCUCCUGCUACACCUUUGGUGCUGCUCUAGCUCGUUAGCCCCCAUCCCAGGCAUAGACUUCAUCAUCCAAGUGCCCAACUCAGGAUUCUUUGCGGCACUCGGCUGCCUCGGCCUCAUCUCGGCUGUCAACAACCACAUAAAAGGUUUUAGUGCCUCCUUCAUCUCCCCUAAAUAAUCUGCCCACUUUCUGUUUGAUCAUGUUCUUAUACACCAAACUCUCUUUUCUCAAGAUCUACCGAUCCUGCUAUUGCUUCUUCUCGAUCAACCAACAUUCUAAACCACAAAUAUACUCAAAAUCCAAACUUUGCAGUUAUAAUCAAGUAAUUCCAAUGUUUUAUCACUUUGAAGAAUAUUAUCAAAAUCCGGCACUUCCUUUCACUAUACCAACCACACAAAUCACUCACUCAAUUCCAGUUCAUAUUCUUACUAGAAUUAUAGUGGCAAAAACAUAAAAAAAAUAUUUGCAGGGACAUUUUCUGAUUGGGGUUCAGCUAAACAAGUUGUGCUUCGUUGGUCUUGGUUUAUCAUAUACCAUAUAGAAGUUGCAUUGGUGGUUAUAAGCUGAUCUAAGUGAAACAUGAUGUGUUUGUUCUUUUUUCUAUCAAUAUUUGUAUUUAUGCAAUGCAUUUUAAUUGGAUAGACCAAAAUAGGUAUUCUAUCUAUUUUAUCUUUUGUACCUGUGUAAAUAUGGAGACUGGCAUAAGUUAGACAUGUUAUCUUUUGUUACGUUUCCAUAGUUUUAAUUAUAGUGCUUUGAUGCUUUUCUAUUGAUAGACAUUUUAUCUCUGACCACAGUUUGCUAUUUAUCACAUUUCUUUUCUUUUAGAUUAAAAAGUCAAUGGUUUUAACAACUAAUUCUGCAAAUACAAAGAAUGCAUCUGGUGGUCAAAUCGUAGCCAAUUCGAAAGCUCACAUGGCUAAGGUAGCAUUGAAGGAACACUUGGUUCUAACUUUGUUUAGAGAUGAGUAUGAUCUAUUACAUGAAGAUUAUCAGCUUUAUCUUCUUCCAAGCAUUUUGGAAUCCAAAAAGUUAGCUAAAUUUGGAUGAGCGAAACAAAAGUAUGCAAAUUUGGAAUAUAAUGUGGCAAAACAAGUUGAGAAGAUGAUAAGGUGCCGAAUGAAGUUAAGAACAUGAUAUGAGAAUCCAUCAAUGUAAGUAACAUGAUACUUUCUUAUGUGAUGCAUUUUUUUUCUUUUCUUUUAUUUAUUUACUUAAGAUAUUUGUUUGUGUAGUUGACAUACCAACUGGACCCUAAAGAAAAAUUGUUGCAUUUUCCAACACUACUUCUGUAUCAUAAUUGAUUUGAUAUAAAACAAACUCAUAUUUGAUUUGAUUGAUUAUGAACUUCUCUUAGCUUUUCCCUCAUUAUAUCAGAUCUUGCUACUGCUAUGCUUUUCCCCUGGUGCUUGAUGUAUAACUUCUCUUAUGUGAGAUGAACAAGUAGAUAGAUCUCUUUUAGAUAUUCGUUGCUUCAAUUGUUGCACUUGGGGUUUAUGAUCUAAUCUUUCAUUUGAUUUCCUCUAGUUCUACAAAGUUUCUGUGGUUGAAAGAAUUGUCUUGAAUUUGUCGAGUUUGUUCUUAGAAAUGAUUUCAUAAGCCUAGCUCGAAGAGGAUAAAGUUUGAAAUUUGUGUUGACUAGUUUGCAUUUUAGAUAUUUCCCCCUUGAAAUAAAAACUUGUUUUAAUGUUAUUGUAUCAUUGGAAAUCAUAUAAAUGAAUUGAUGUUACUCAUCUUUAUUGGUCCAUGUACUCUUAGUGAUAAAAGUGAAUUUAAUAUUUGCAAACUAAAUGUGAAUUUAUUUACUUUCCAUGUACUCUUAGUGAUAAACAGUUAUGUCAUUUGGGUCGACUACUAAUGAAUUGAAUUUGAAAAUUUAAAAUUGCUUUAUGUAGUUGGAUUCUUUUAAAUUUUUAAUCAAGGUGAUUUAUUAUCCCCUGUCGGUGAUUUGUCAUCAGCCAAUGUGAUUUAGGCUUCAUAGUUAAUUAUCUUGGAAUACAACUAAAUUUAUACCCGAACAAAAUACAUAUAGCCCCUCUAGCUGAUGACCAAAACUAUAAAUCUUGUAAGAAUAUCCAUAUCAGCAAUAAUUCUAGUGAAGAAUGGCUUACAGUUCAAUAUUCAACUUGUGAAGAACUGGUGUCUAAUACUAAGGUUAUAAAUUGCAUAUAUUUCAACAAAUAACCUUUUUUUAUAGUGUUUUAGAUAUUCAGACUCGGUGAAAUUUGUUUUUGUUUGUAUCUUUCUGCUUGUACAUACAGUAAGUCAUAGAUAAGUACUGAUUAAUUAAAUUGCAACUAUGAGAAAACUUCGUUGUAAUAAUUUUUGGUUUGGAUUAUAUUAAGUUCCCAGGAAUGAUAGAUCUAUCACUAUAU
Zingiber officinale is the source of this 2944-nucleotide long non-coding RNA. RefSeq lists it as uncharacterized. The record is from RefSeq and is a predicted model, not a curated record. The transcript has 5 exons. NCBI's taxonomy places the organism in Eukaryota, Viridiplantae, Streptophyta, Magnoliopsida, Zingiberales, Zingiberaceae.